Pelobates cultripes (western spadefoot toad) is the source of this 361-nucleotide non-coding RNA. Lineage: Eukaryota; Metazoa; Chordata; Amphibia; Anura; Pelobatidae. The record is from the annotation of a GenBank genome assembly.
GUGGAUAGUGUCAACCAACAUAUUUACUAUACCAGUCAUGAUAUUGGAUUGCAAGAAGAACAGAAGCUGGUUUCUAUCUACAGCACUGAUUAAGCAAAAGUGUGUGGCUUUUUUUACUUCCUUGAGUGCUGUGUCUCGCUUCUUACUGGCAUACGAUGACUGAUCUAUCUUCCAGGUACUCGGGACUUUACUUCCGAUUACCAAAAUUUGUGCAAACAUCAAGACUAUAUCACUUAGCAUUAUUAAACACAGCCAGAACAGGCACUGGGCAACAACCCAGACACAAAAUGUCAAAUUUGCAACUCUACGAGAUGCAGGUGCAAUAUACGCCCGAAAUAAAAAGAAUAUUGCAAAAAGCAAC